Molecule: transfer RNA, 23 nt
Filed under: Microtus obscurus (Altai voie)
Lineage: Eukaryota; Metazoa; Chordata; Mammalia; Rodentia; Cricetidae
Description: partial tRNA-Pro
Source: RNAcentral
ACACUCUAUUUAAACUACUUCCU